RNAcentral lists this ribosomal RNA (441 nucleotides) under Triticum aestivum (bread wheat). RNAcentral's name for it is "partial small subunit ribosomal RNA". The record is from RNAcentral. Lineage: Eukaryota; Viridiplantae; Streptophyta; Magnoliopsida; Poales; Poaceae.
AUGCCCAUCCUCUGUCCGUCUGCAGCCGUGAUAUUCUCCUCCCUCAUGCAACUGGAGCACGGGAUGAGCGACUCCGACGACCGGAGGCAGAGGGCGGCGUGCGCGGAGAGGUACAGGAGGAGAGACGAGCCAGAGGAUAGCAAGAGGCCCGUCUCCGAGAUGGACGCCGAGAUAGAGGAGGAGUGCGGGAUCUGCAUGGAGCUCAACAGCAGGGUCAUGCUGCGCAACUGCAGCCACGACAUGUGCAUCAAGUGCUAUCAUCAAUGUCAAUGCCUCCAAUGUGGUCGACAUCGAGUGCAUCGGGGAUUCGGGGUCGUCUUCGAGAAGGAUAAGACCAGGGCCUCCAAUGGAUCAUUCAGUGCUCCACUUCUCCUCUUCUUCCUAACCAUUUCCUGUCUUCCUGCCGUCACAUGCAAUGGCUACUUGUCACCUCCUUCUUAA